This 4740-nucleotide unclassified non-coding RNA is filed under the name Hevea brasiliensis (rubber tree). Lineage: Eukaryota; Viridiplantae; Streptophyta; Magnoliopsida; Malpighiales; Euphorbiaceae. The record is from RNAcentral.
GGGUUAAAUCCUCAGAAAUGUGUAGUGUUAUUAUUGAUAGUGGUAGUUGUGAAGACAUUGUAGUGAAAGAGAUUGUGAAGAAUUUGGGUUUGCUAAUUGAAAAACAUACUAACCCGUACACUCUGGGGUGAAUCAAGACAGCAACUAGUACUAUUGAGGUGAAUGAAAGGUGCAAGGUUUUCUUUUACAUUGGUCAAUAGAAAUAUGAGGUGUAUUGUGAUGUUGUAGACAUGGAUGUGUGCCAUUUGUUGUUUGGGAGGCCAUGGCAAUAUGAGGUCUAUGCACAACACUUCGAAAGAACCAACACCUAUAGCAUCGAGAAGGAAGGGGUGAAGUAUUCUCUUUUGCCAUUAAAAAACAAAUCAACAAAGAAGGAGGUGCGUACCUUCUUAGCAGUCACUAAAGAGUUUGUGGUGGAGGCCGAGGAAACAAAGCAAGUCCAUGCUUUGGUUGUGAAGCAAAUCCUUAUGGGGAAGUCAAAAUCCCAAGUGGAGGAGCCUCCCAAGCUAGUAAGAGCAUCAUUGAAGGAGUUUAAGGAGUUGAUGUCGAAUGACAUAUCGGAUGGAUUGCCUCCCAUGCGUGAUAUCCAAUAUCACAUUGAUCUUAUUCCGGGUGCUAGCUUUGCCAAAUUUGCCUCACUAUCGCAUGAGUUCUAAGGAGAGAGAGAUACUCAAGGAGAAAGUGGAGGAGCUCUUGUGAAAAGGGGCUUAUCGAGGAAAACAUGAGUUCAUGUGUUGUUCCCGCAUUGUUAACACCUAAGAAGGAUGUGAGUAGGAGUAUGUGUGUAGAUAGCCGUGCCAUCAACAACAUUACGGUGGGCUAUAAAUUCCCAAUUCCUAGAUUGGAUGAUAUGUUGGAUCAAUUGCAUAGUGCUAGAUGGUUCACCAAGCUAGAUUUGAAGAAUGGGUACCAUCAAAUACACGUAGCCUAGUGAUGAAUGGAAAAUAGCAUUCAAGACAAAGGAGAGGCUGUAUGAGUGGCUUGUCAUGCCAUUCAGGUUUUCAAAUGCACCUAGUACCUCCAUGAGAUUGAUGAACCUUUUAUUGGGCACUUUGUGAUUUUUUAUGUUGAUGACAUUUAAUAUAGCAAGUCAGAAGAGAACCACUUAAUGCAUUUGAGGAAGGUGUUAUUAGCCUUGUAGGAGAACAAUCUAUACGUCAACCUUAAGAAGUGUAGUUUCUUGACCAACAAACUACUGUUCUUGGGGUAUGUUAUGAGCACAGAAAGCAUAUAAGUAGAUUAGGCAAAGGUCAAAACAUUCAAAGAGUGGUCAACCCUUACUAUUGUUUCAAAGGUUCGUCCAUGGGUUAGCCACAUUCUAUCGGUGGUUUAUCAAAGAUUUCAGCACCAUAGUGGUGCCAAUGACCGAGUGCCUAAAGGAGGAAAAGUUCCAAUGGGGCAAGGAGGCUGCAAAUAGCUUUGCAAUUCUCAAGGAAAAGCUAUGCACUGCACUGGUCCUAGCUUUACCAAACUUUGAUAAGCUAUUUGAAGUGGAUUGUGAUACAAGUGGAAUCAGGAUUGGAGCGGUUUUAUCCCAAGAGAAAAGGCCUGUGGCAUAUUUCAGUGAAAAGCUAAGUGAUGCUAGGAGGAAUUAGAGCACCUAUGGCAAAGAGUUCUAUUCGGUGGUUUGUGCUUUUGAAAAUUGGGAGCAUUAUUUGAUAGGUAAAGAGUUCAUCUUGUAUUCAGACCGCGAGGCCUUAAAGUAUCUAAAUAGCCAAAAGAGGAUUAGUAGGGAUAUGCAUACAGGGUGGUGUCAAUUCUUGCAACGAUUUCCUUUUAAGCUCAAGCACAAAUCUGGAGUUCAAAAUCGGGUAGCGGAUGCUUUGAGUAGGACUAGCUGAGUAGUUCAAAAUUGGUGACUUUGAGCCAUGAGAUUGUGGGGUUUGAGCAACUAAAGGAACUCUACGCCAAUGAUGAGGACUUUGGAAAAAUAUGGGGUAAGUGUUCUCAAGGCUAUCCUUGUGAAAAUUUUUAUGUGCUUGAUGAGUAUUUGAUGCAUGAGAACCAGCUUUGCCUUCCUCGAACCUCGUUAUGAGAGAAGGUAAUCCGAGAUUUGCAUGGAGGGGGACUAACUGCCCAUUUGGGAAGAGAUAAGACCAUUGCAGCAGUGGAAAAAAGAUAUUUUUGGCCUAGAUUGAGCAAGGAUGUAAUCAGGUUUGUCAUGAAGUGUUUUACUUAUUAAACUUUUAAGGGACAAUCUCAAAAUAACGGUUUAUACAUGCCUUCGCCUACACCUGAAAAUAUUUGGGAAAUUUUGUGUUGGGAUUGCCAAUAACACAAAGGGGAGUGGAUUCGGUGUUUGAGGUUGUUGAUAGAUUUUUCAAGAUGACACAUUUUAUUCCUGGUAGAAAGACUUUCGAUGCAAUUCAUGUUGCUAAAUUGUUCUUCAAGGAAGUGGUUCGGUUGCAUGGGGUGCCUAAGUUAAUCACUUUAGAUCGAGAUAGUAAGUUCUUGGGACACUUUUGGAGGACCUUGUGGAAACUUUGUGAUUCAUCUUUGAAUUUCAGUAGUAUAGCACAUCCUCAAAGUGAUGGCCAAACCAAAGUAGUCAAUCGCACAUUGGGAAAUCUAAUUCGAAGCAUUUGUGGAGAUAAACCCAAGCAAUGGGAUGUGGCUUUGCCCCAAGUUGAAUUUGCCUACAAUAGUGCCAUUCAUAGCGCUAUUGGAAGGUCUCCAUUUUCAAUGGUAUACACAAAAGUGUCUCAACAUACUCUUGACUUGGUCAAAUUGCCUAAAGAAGAUGGAAAGAGUGUAGCAGCCAAGCAGAUGGCGAAACGAGUUGUUGAGGUGCACACAGAGGUAAAGUUGAAGCUGGAAGAGGCUAAUAAGAAGUAAGAAGCAGCAGCUGAUAAACACAAGCGAAAGCAAGUGUUUGAGGUGGGUGACAAGGUGAUGGUGUUCCUAAGGCGUGAAAGGUUUCCUGUGGGUUUUUAUAGCAAGUUGCAACCGAAGAAAUAUGGAUCUUAUAAAAUUGUCAAACAAAUCAAUGACAACGUGUAAGUUGUUGAUUUGCCGGAUGGCAUGAGAAUUUCGUGUAUUUUCAAUAUAGUUGAUUUGUUUCCAUACUACUUCAUGGAUGAGCCUUUGUCUCCAUGGAUGAGCCUUUGUAUCCGCCUAAUGACUUGAACUCAAGGUUGAGUCUUUCCCAAGUGGAGGAGACUGAUGUGGAAUGUAUUAGUGAUAAUUUUAUUGGAAAAUUGGAGAAGGUUCAAAGGAAAAAACAAAGGAAGCAUUCUGGAAUGAAAAUUGGAGAAAAACAAUAAGUUUGAGGCGAGUUUUGGUGGGCAGUAAGAGGAGCUACGUUUUUUAAUUAAUUUUUUUUUAUCUCCAGCAGUUCUAGAUCAACUUGGACUCCCUGUUUAGCAAGAGUAAUUAUUUCAGAAUUAAUUUUGAGGUUUUUCCUAUCUAUUUAGGAUUUAAUCAUGUCUUCUACUUAGAGUUGGACUAGUUAAUUUUCUACUUUAUCUUUAUUUUCUUAAUGCAUUUGGAUUUAGUUUAAAUUCCUAUUUAGUAGAGCUAUUUUCUUAUUAGGAUUGAGAGUCUAAAACUCUAUAAAUACUCCAAAAACUACGUAUUAGAGAUUCAGAUUUCAAUUUAUAAAUUUUCAGCAGAUAUUUUACUCUCAAAUUCUCUCUUAGGUGUGUGUGUGUGUGUGAGUGAUUUCUUUAGCUUCUCUGCAUCAGAUAUGCUUGUAAAUCCUUGGCUGUGUUUACCACCAGAGUUACAGUAGUGAAAAACUUUAUGAUCACAAGUCAUGUUUGUGGAGCAAAUAACUCUACAUUUGUGCUGGGAUAUUCUUGGUUUUAUGGUUAACCGAGGUUAUACUAGAGGGGCUGUAAUUUUCUUGCAUGUGAAAUCCAAGUGUUAGUAUUGGAAAGGUUACAUGCUUAUCUUUCUAGCCAUAUCAGAUAAGCAGCGAACUGUAUGUCUGCAUUCAGUUUCUUGCACAUAAUAAAGGCAAGCAUUUUCAAAUUGGUUUUGACAUCUGCUGAUAAGCAAAGGCUUUUUUUAGUUAUGGAAUUAACCCUCCUUGAUUCGUCAGUUGGCCUCAGGAGCAAUGGAGAAGAAGAAUAAUGUACCUGCAGGUCAAUCUUCUGGUUAGUUUUUUAUGACUUCUAAAAGUUUUUUAUGGGGUAUUUAACUCUGCAGUUAUUUUAACUAAUAUAAGUUAACUAAUUUAAUUUAUUAUGGUGACAUUUGUAUGAAUUUUUAGAUUCUGGUGAUGCCCCUGUUAUUUGAGGUUUCUUUGUGGCAUGGAAAUGCAUAAUCAAAUUAUUUGCUAGGCUUAUUAAUUUAUAGUUGUGCUUGAUAGAUUGGGGCGUCUUUUUGUGCUGUGUUGAAUUUUAUGUAAUUUAGUAAUUAAUCGUUCAUUUUGCCUCUGGUUUGCAGGAGUUGCACGAGGCAAUAUUACACAGAGACCUGAAUUUGAAGCCAAAGUUGCAAAGCUUGUUGAGUUAGGCUUUGGAAGGGAGGCAGUAGUACAAGCUCUCAAGUUUUUUGAUGGUAACGAAGAACAAGCUGCCGGAUAUCUAUUUGGGGGUUGAUUAUUUUCCCUUUUCUGUCAUAGAAUUAAGAUUUGUGGCUUAAUUUGUAUACUCAAAACAUUUUUUGGGCAUUCAAACUCAUCUUAGAAAUUAAUUAUUAUUGUUGGACACAAAAUUAACCUUGUUGUCCUGCUGAUGGAUUUGCUCAGGGAGUGGAAUUCAAGGUGAAUUAUUUGGUUAUAUGGUUUGGUUGGAU